AUACUUACCUGGCGUGAUCAUGAAGGCGCUUCACCCAGGGCGAGGCUCAACCAUUGCACUCCGGCUGUGCUGCCCACUGCUCACUAGGGGUGAGGGUUAAAUACAGAGGACACAUUUCGAUGUGUCACCGU
This is a small nuclear RNA of 131 nucleotides. Its record names the gene U1. It matches the Rfam family "U1 spliceosomal RNA". Rfam says of the family: U1 is a small nuclear RNA (snRNA) component of the spliceosome (involved in pre-mRNA splicing). Its 5' end forms complementary base pairs with the 5' splice junction, thus defining the 5' donor site of an intron. The record is from Ensembl.